AGCGCCGCGUAAGCGGGCCGACCGUCGACCCCGGCGGUGUCAGGGGCCACAGCCCAGAGCCCCCUGGCCCCGGAAAGCUGCGG
Mycobacterium celatum is the source of this 83-nucleotide non-coding RNA. Lineage: Bacteria; Bacillati; Actinomycetota; Actinomycetes; Mycobacteriales; Mycobacteriaceae. The record is from Rfam.